UACGUAGGGUGCGAGUGUUGUCCGGAAUUACUGGGCGUAAAGAGCUCGUAGGUGGUUUGUCGCGUCGUCUGUGAAAUUCCGGGGCUUAACCUCGGGCGUGCAGGCGAUACGGGCAAUACUUGAGUGCUGUAGGGGAGACUGGAAUUCCUGGUGUAGCGGUGAAAUGCGCAGAUAUCAGGAGGAACACCGAUGGCGAAGGCAGGUCUCUGGGCAGUAACUGACGCUGAGGAGCGAAAGCAUGGGUAGCGAACAGGAUUAGAUA
This 262-nucleotide ribosomal RNA is filed under the name uncultured prokaryote. RNAcentral's name for it is "partial 16S ribosomal RNA". It matches the Rfam family "Bacterial small subunit ribosomal RNA", at positions 524 to 784 of the family's 1533-position model. The record is from RNAcentral.